AUGACAUUGCAGAGAUUUCCAGGAGGGCCCAGAGCCUGCCCAAGGUGAACAAGAAGAGACAACGAGUGCUGGUCUUCACUCAGGGCAAGGAUGAUACUGUGACCACUAUCGGUGAGAAGGUGACCGUUCCCUGUCCUGGACAUUGACCAGAGCGACAUCGUGGACACUAGCGGAGAAGGAGAUGCCUUUGUGUGAGGCUUCCUGUCUGGAGCUGGUCCUCCAGGAGAGGCCGAUGGAGGAGUGUGUCCGUGGGGGCCACUACGCAGCCAACGAUAUCGUCAGACGGGCAGGAUUUACCUUCCCUGAGACUUCCAUUGAUGCAUCCGACCAUUAUUCCCCAAGCACUGUGCUUUGAUUUCCAUGUAUUUUCCUUAAAAACACCUGCUGCAUUAAGCUGUGUGUAUGUGCCUCAAAGUUGUGUA
Molecule: non-coding RNA, 422 nt
Organism: Salvelinus sp. IW2-2015
Lineage: Eukaryota; Metazoa; Chordata; Actinopteri; Salmoniformes; Salmonidae
Source: RefSeq, a predicted model, not a curated record